CUUAGUGACGGUACCUGAAUAAGAAGCCCCGGCUAACUACGUGCCAGCAGCCGCGGUAAUACGUAGGGGGCAAGUGUUAUCCGGAAUUACUGGGUGUAAAGGGAGCGUAGGCGGCACGCCAAGCCAGAUGUGAAAGCCCGAGGCUUAACCUCGCGGAUUGCAUUUGGAACUGGCGAGCUAGAGUACAGGAGAGGAAAGCGGAAUUCCUAGUGUAGCGGUGAAAUGCGUAGAUAUUAGGAAGAACACCAGUGGCGAAGGCGGCUUUCUGGACUGAAACUGACGCUGAGGCUCGAAAGCGUGGGGAGCAAACAGGAUUAGAUACCCUGGUAGUCCACGCCGUAAACGAUGAGUGCUAGGUGUCGGGGAGGAAUCCUCGGUGCCGCAGCUAACGCAAUAAGCACUCCACCUGGGGAGUACGACCGCAAGGUUGAAACUCAAAGGAAUUGACGGGGGCCCGCACAAGCGGUGGAGCAUGUGGUUUAAUUCGAAGCAACGCGAAGAACCUUACCAAGGCUUGACAUCCCGAUGACCGCUCUAGAGAUAGAGUUUCUCUUCGGAGCAUCGGUGACAGGUGGUGCAUGGUUGUCGUCAGCUCGUGUCGUGAGAUGUUGGGUUAAGUCCCGCAACGAGCGCAACCCUUAUCCUUAGUAGCCAUCAUUGAGUUGGGCACUCUAGGGAGACUGCCGUGGAUAACACGGAGGAAGGUGGGGAUGACGUCAAAUCAUCAUGCCCCUUAUGUCUUGGGCUACACACGUGCUACAAUGGCUGGUAACAGAGUGAAGCGAGACGGCGACGUUAAGCAAAUCACAAAAACCCAGUCCCAGUUCGGAUUGUAGUCUGCAACUCGACUACAUGAAGCUGGAAUCGCUAGUAAUCGCGAAUCAGAAUGUCGCGGUGAAUACGUUCCCGGGCCUUGUACACACCGCCCGUCACACCCAUGGGAGUUGGAAGCACCCGAAAGUUCGGUGAC
Molecule: ribosomal RNA, 970 nt
Filed under: uncultured Clostridium sp.
Lineage: Bacteria; Bacillati; Bacillota; Clostridia; Eubacteriales; Clostridiaceae
Description: bacterial SSU rRNA
Rfam family: Bacterial small subunit ribosomal RNA
Source: RNAcentral